AGGUAUGGAUUGUCAAUUAUCAAUGGCUGUCACCCAUUGAUAGCCAGGGUUGAUUCGGCUGAUCUAGAUGGCUUGGCAGGUGUCCCCUUCCUCCCUCACCACCCCACGUGCAUCCCUCCCGAAGCUGUGUGCUCAGUGGGAGAAGAGGACCACUCCCAACAGAGGAGGACCGUUUCCUCAGUCAAGGGGAUAGCUGCAGUCCCCCGCUGGAACCUCCAAACAGGCUCUCAAAGGUAUAGAUUGUGAUGGUUGAUUUAAAUGUCAACUUUGGGUAAAGCUUCAGACAGUUUGGACGUUGCUCU
Fukomys damarensis (Damara mole-rat) is the source of this 302-nucleotide unclassified non-coding RNA. Its record names the gene 7SK. It matches the Rfam family "7SK RNA". From Rfam's summary of the family: 7SK was discovered as an abundant small nuclear RNA in the mid-70s but a possible function has only recently been suggested. NCBI's taxonomy places the organism in Eukaryota, Metazoa, Chordata, Mammalia, Rodentia, Bathyergidae. The record is from Ensembl.